AACGAACGCUGGCGGCAUGCCUAACACAUGCAAGUCGAACGAGACCUUUGGGUCUAGUGGCGCACGGGUGCGUAACGCGUGGGAAUCUGCCCUUGGGUUCGGAAUAACAGUGAGAAAUUGCUGCUAAUACCGGAUGAUGUCUUCGGACCAAAGAUUUAUCGCCCAGGGAUGAGCCCGCGUAGGAUUAGCUAGUUGGUGGGGUAAUGGCCUACCAAGGCGACGAUCCUUAGCUGGUCUGAGAGGAUGAUCAGCCACACUGGGACUGAGACGCGGCCCAGACUCCUACGGGAGGCAGCAGUGGGGAAUAUUGGACAAUGGGCGCAAGCCUGAUCCAGCAAUGCCGCGUGAGUGAAGAAGGUCUUCGGAUCGUAAAACUCUGUUAUUAGGGAAGAACAAAUGUGUAAGUAACUAUGCACGUCUUGACGGUACCUAAUCAGAAAGCCACGGCUAACUACGUG
Molecule: ribosomal RNA, 458 nt
Filed under: uncultured bacterium
Lineage: Bacteria
Description: partial 16S ribosomal RNA
Rfam family: Bacterial small subunit ribosomal RNA
Source: RNAcentral